UACGUAGGUCCCGAGCGUUGUCCGGAUUUAUUGGGCGUAAAGCGAGCGCAGGUGGUUUAUUAAGUCUGGUGUAAAAGGCAGUGGCUCAACCAUUGUAUGCAUUGGAAACUGGUAGACUUGAGUGCAGGAGAGGAGAGUGGAAUUCCAUGUGCAGCGGUGAAAUGCGUAGAUAUAUGGAGGAACACCGGUGGCGAAAGCGGCUCUCUGGCCUGUAACUGACACUGAGGCUCGAAAGCGUGGGAAGCAAACAGG
Molecule: ribosomal RNA, 252 nt
Filed under: uncultured bacterium
Lineage: Bacteria
Description: partial 16S ribosomal RNA
Rfam family: Bacterial small subunit ribosomal RNA
Source: RNAcentral